AUGCUAAGGCACCUCGCUGCUUUAGAAAGCGGCCCUGCCAUCACCGGGACGACACACUACCCCGCUUCCGAGCCAAGCUCCAGGAAAAGGGGGCUUAGCGGCGGCAGUAACCCGAGUCGGACCUCGCCUGGAGAGAGGACACAGAAGGGCAAGGCUCCGGCCGCAACCCCAAGCCGAGUCGCGAGGGGGCAGGGACCCCCAGCCUCCCGCGCGGCCAAUGGCAGGCCCAGGAGAGGGAAGCCCCGCAGCCGGGGAGGGUGGAGAUUCCCGACGCCCCGCACAGUCCCGCAGCGCCCUCGGCCGAGAUCUAACCUGGUCUCUAACGCCUCGCGCCGCUGGAGAGCGGAACUCGGGCAGUUAUUAGCCGGGGUCCGCUCAGCGCCCCCACUUCUCACCCCUGACCCGCAGGCGAGGACCCAUCGGAGCUUCCGGGAGGCGGGGCCAAGGAAAGGAAGAAGGGAACCGAAAGAGGAAGGGGCUUCAACGAGGCCGGGCGGAAGUGACGUCCCGCGAGGGCGCCGCGCGCCCGGAAACAGAGGCCGUCGCUCUAGCAACGCCCAGGCAGCCGACCUCAGCGUGCACCCGCUCCGCGCUGUCGCGGGCGAGAGCGCCCCUGGCUUCCUCGGCUCGUCGGCCACUGUUGCUGCGACCCAGUGUUUGUACUGGAAUAAAGUGCCUGGUUCCGUUGCCUCUUCCGGGUAUUCCUUAAAAAGCAGAAAAGCCAUUUCCCCAACAUUAUAAAAACACAAACUUUGCUUAUCACAAUCCUCCACCUGCCCAUGCUGCUUGCAUCCCCUGGAGAAUCUUCUGUGGACAUCGGCCUCUUAGUGAAGCUGCCAGGAUAAUUUCUGUUUGCCAUGGGCAUCUGGCCACCAAGGAAUUUCACACCCUGAGGAUUACUCUUGACACUUUUAUGUAUUCCAUUGUUUUAUAUGAUUUUCCUAACAAUCAUUUAUAAUUGGAUGUGCUCCUGAAUCUACUUUUUAUUAAAAAAAAAAAAAUCUGCUGUGCACAAUUUUCCAUGUACAUUACAACUGGUUUUUUUGUUUUUGUUUUGUUGGGGGUGUUGGGAGGGGGAGGGAACUUUUAUUUAUUGUGUUCACAAACGCCAUCUUUUCAGCAUAUCCUUUUAAGCUUAGUUCUUCCUUCCAGUUAUACUAUGUACUAUCAGUUUUGAUAUAACUAUAUAUAUAUAAAUAUAAAAUUAUAUAUAAAGAGUUAUUUGAAACAAAAAAAUCUAAAUACUUAUAUUU
RNAcentral lists this long non-coding RNA (1253 nucleotides) under Vulpes vulpes (red fox). RNAcentral's name for it is "lncRNA (ENSVVUG00000019249.1)". Lineage: Eukaryota; Metazoa; Chordata; Mammalia; Carnivora; Canidae. The record is from RNAcentral.